RNAcentral lists this ribosomal RNA (111 nucleotides) under Caerostris darwini. Lineage: Eukaryota; Metazoa; Arthropoda; Arachnida; Araneae; Araneidae. The record is from RNAcentral.
ACGGCCGCACCACGCUGAAUAUACCGGUUCUCGUUAGAUCACCGAAGUUAAGCAUCAUUGGGCGCGGUCAGUACUUGGGUGGGUGACCACCUGGGAACACUGCGUGCCGUU